RNAcentral lists this ribosomal RNA (331 nucleotides) under uncultured Glomus. Its description in RNAcentral is "eukaryotic LSU rRNA". Lineage: Eukaryota; Fungi; Glomeromycota; Glomeromycetes; Glomerales; Glomeraceae. The record is from RNAcentral.
CAGUCGUACCUACGGGUAAUCAGCCUUUUGGGUGUGCUUAUGUGGUAUGUGAAAAGAUUUCACAGUUGCAUAUUUGUGCCUUUUGGGUGUACUUUCUCGUAUGGUAGGUUAAACAUCAAUUUCGGGCAUCAUAAAAAUGGCGGGAGGAAUGUAGCUUCUCCGGAAGUGUUUUAUAGCCUCUGGGUAGAUGUGAUGACUGAGAUUGAGGAUGGCAACGAAUAACCCUCUGGGGCUACCUGUCCGGGCCUUCUGGGUCGUCGCCUUUGGUGCCCAAAGGCGUGGUUUACGGUAUUAAAAGUAGGUGGGUCAAAAGGUUUAAAACGGGUUUAAA